Molecule: ribosomal RNA, 497 nt
Filed under: uncultured bacterium
Lineage: Bacteria
Description: partial 16S ribosomal RNA
Rfam family: Bacterial small subunit ribosomal RNA
Source: RNAcentral
GAUGAACGCUGGCGGCGUGCCUAAUACAUGCAAGUCGAGCGAACAGAUGAGGAGCUUGCUCCUCUGACGUUAGCGGCGGACGGGCGAGUAACACGUGGAUAACCUACCUAUAAGACUGGGAUAACUUCGGGAAACCGGAGCUAAUACCGGAUAAUAUAUUGAACCGCAUGGUUCAAUAGUGAAAGACGGUUUUGCUGUCACUUAUAGAUGGAUCCGCGCCGCAUUAGCUAGUUGGUAAGGUAACGGCUUACCAAGGCAACGAUGCGUAGCCGACCUGAGAGGGUGAUCGGCCACACUGGAACUGAGACACGGUCCAGACUCCUACGGGAGGCAGCAGUAGGGAAUCUUCCGCAAUGGGCGAAAGCCUGACGGAGCAACGCCGCGUGAGUGAUGAAGGUCUUCGGAUCGUAAAACUCUGUUAUUAGGGAAGAACAAAUGUGUCAGUAACUAUGCACGUCUUGACGGUACCUAAUCAGAAAGCCACGGCUAACUACGUG